CGGACGGGUGAGUAACGCGUGGAAAACCUGCCGUAUACUGGGGGAUAACACUUAGAAAUAGGUGCUAAUACCGCAUAAGCGCACAGCUUCGCAUGAAGCGGUGUGAAAAAACUCUGGUGGUAUACGAUGGUUCCGCGUCUGAUUAGCUAGUUGGUGGGGUAAUGGCCUAACCAAGGCAACGAUCAGUAGCCGGCCUGAGAGGGUGAACGGCCACAUUGGGACUGAGACACGGCCCAAACUCCUACGGGAGGCAGCAG
This 257-nucleotide ribosomal RNA is filed under the name uncultured bacterium. RNAcentral's name for it is "partial 16S ribosomal RNA". It matches the Rfam family "Bacterial small subunit ribosomal RNA", at positions 99 to 354 of the family's 1533-position model. The record is from RNAcentral.